Molecule: non-coding RNA, 24 nt
Filed under: Cricetulus griseus (Chinese hamster)
Lineage: Eukaryota; Metazoa; Chordata; Mammalia; Rodentia; Cricetidae
Source: RNAcentral
CACAUGUAGAUAAGACGUAGGACU